CCCGCAGCAAAGCCAGCGACGUUCCCUCCCAAGAGCACAGAUCUAGCCGCGCGGCUCUGGCGGCACAGCGACGAUUUGACGACGACCGUCGCCUCCCUCCCUCCCCGACGUCCUUCGCCUCCCUCUCCCCCAGUCCUUCUUCUUCGAUAGAAGCUGGACUUCUCUCAGGUCCUGCAACCGGUGGAGUGGAUGGAUGGCCCGCUUCAACUCUGGAGUUUAUGGAGUGUCAUUUGUGGGGUGAACAAUAACAAGCUAGUCCAUGAUACCCAUUUUAUAUUCGUUCCCUUGCUCUUUUCUACUUGAUAUAAAAUCAUUUGUAUGUAUGUCUUAUGACCAAACCUGUGUUGAUUCAUGAGAGAUGUAAGUUCCCAGCAGAAAUUAUACGGUAUAACCUGUGUUGCUGUGUUGGGGUCAUGAGAGAAAUGUUGCCUGGCAGUUUGCAAGUUAAACCCAUACUCCCCUGUUCCUAAGAUUGCACUAUAUAUAUAGUUAUUAUUUUUGCAUAA
Molecule: long non-coding RNA, 506 nt
Organism: Lolium rigidum
Lineage: Eukaryota; Viridiplantae; Streptophyta; Magnoliopsida; Poales; Poaceae
Exons: 2
Source: RefSeq, a predicted model, not a curated record